GAUGAACGCUGGCGGCGUGCCUAAUACAUGCAAGUCGAGCGAACAGACGAGGAGCUUGCUCCUCUGACGUUAGCGGCGGACGGGUGAGUAACACGUGGAUAACCUACCUAUAAGACUGGGAUAACUUCGGGAAACCGGAGCUAAUACCGGAUAAUAUAUUGAACCGCAUGGUUCAAUAGUGAAAGACGGUUUUGCUGUCACUUAUAGAUGGAUCCGCGCCGCAUUAGCUAGUUAGUAAGGUAACGGCUUACCAAGGCAACGAUGCGUAGCCGACCUGAGAGGGUGAUCGGCCACACUGGAACUAAGACACGGUCCAGACUCCUACGGGAGGCAGCAGUAGGGAAUCUUCCGCAAUGGGCGAAAGCUUGACGGAGCAACGCCGCGUGAGUGAUGAAGGUCUUCGGAUCGUAAAACUCUGUUAUUAGGGAAGAACAAAUGUGUAAGUAACUAUGCACGUCUUGACGGUACCUAAUCAGAAAGCCACGGCUAACUACGUG
RNAcentral lists this ribosomal RNA (497 nucleotides) under uncultured bacterium. Its description in RNAcentral is "partial 16S ribosomal RNA". It matches the Rfam family "Bacterial small subunit ribosomal RNA", at positions 28 to 507 of the family's 1533-position model. The record is from RNAcentral.